GAUGAACGCUGGCGGCGUGCCUAAUACAUGCAAGUCGAGCGAACAGACGAGGAGCUUGCUCCUCUGACGUUAGCGGCGGACGGGUGAGUAACACGUGGAUAACCUACCUAUAAGACUGGGAUAACUUCGGGAAACCGGAGCUAACACCGGAUAAUAUAUUGAACCGCAUGGUUCAAUAGUGAAAGACGGUUUUGCUGUCACUUAUAGAUGGAUCCGCGCCGCAUUAGCUAGUUGGUAAGGUAACGGCUUACCAAGGCGACGAUGCGUAGCCGACCUGAGAGGGUGAUCGGCCACACUGGAACUGAGACACGGUCCAGACUCCUACGGGAGGCAGCAGUAGGGAAUCUUCCGCAAUGGGCGAAAGCCUGACGGAGCAACGCCGCGUGAGUGAUGAAGGUCUUCGGAUCGUAAAACUCUGUUAUUAGGGAAGAACAAAUGUGUAAGUAACUAUGCACGCCUUGACGGUACCUAAUCAGAAAGCCACGGCUAACUACGUG
This 497-nucleotide ribosomal RNA is filed under the name uncultured bacterium. RNAcentral's name for it is "partial 16S ribosomal RNA". It matches the Rfam family "Bacterial small subunit ribosomal RNA", at positions 28 to 507 of the family's 1533-position model. The record is from RNAcentral.